GCUGGGCGUGGUGGUGAAUGCCUGUAAUCCCAGCAACUUGGAGGCUGAGGCAGGAGGAUUGUGAGUUCAAAGCCAGCCUCAG
RNAcentral lists this small RNA (82 nucleotides) under Marmota monax (woodchuck). Lineage: Eukaryota; Metazoa; Chordata; Mammalia; Rodentia; Sciuridae. The record is from RNAcentral.